UAUCUCAGUAGGUAAAGAAUCUGCCUGCAAUGCAGGAGACCUGGGUUUGAUUCCUGG
RNAcentral lists this transfer RNA (57 nucleotides) under Bos taurus (domestic cattle). It matches the Rfam family "tRNA", at positions 8 to 63 of the family's 71-position model. Rfam says of the family: Transfer RNA (tRNA) molecules are approximately 80 nucleotides in length. Their secondary structure includes four short double-helical elements and three loops (D, anti-codon, and T loops). Further hydrogen bonds mediate the characteristic L-shaped molecular structure. tRNAs have two regions of fundamental functional importance: the anti-codon, which is responsible for specific mRNA codon recognition, and the 3' end, to which the tRNAs corresponding amino acid is attached (by aminoacyl-tRNA synthetases). tRNAs cope with the degeneracy of the genetic code in two manners: having more than one tRNA (with a specific anti-codon) for a particular amino acid; and 'wobble' base-pairing, i.e. permitting non-standard base-pairing at the 3rd anti-codon position. Lineage: Eukaryota; Metazoa; Chordata; Mammalia; Artiodactyla; Bovidae. The record is from Rfam by way of RNAcentral. RNAcentral also lists the same sequence under 5 other names.